Exaiptasia diaphana is the source of this 722-nucleotide long non-coding RNA. RefSeq lists it as uncharacterized. The transcript is spliced from 3 exons. The record is from RefSeq and is a predicted model, not a curated record. Lineage: Eukaryota; Metazoa; Cnidaria; Anthozoa; Actiniaria; Aiptasiidae.
AAACGAAGCACUCCACCAAGGUAAAACUGUCAUUUGCAAACUACCUGUGGUCACAACAAGACCUUCCUCCUUUCACAGAAUCAUCAGAAUCCAUUUUGUUUUAUCAAAGUUCCUCAGUUACAAGAACAAAGUCAAAUUACCCAAAAAGAAUACAAUGGCUGAUAUGGUCAUGACCUUUCUCUAUCCGAUCGGCGAGUGUACCGACGCAUAUUCAAAUAUUACAGAUCCACUUAUCUAACCUCUGUACGCGAAACUUUGAACGAGAUUUCACCGUGUAAAAAAACUACGCCAUCCAUAGUCUAAGGACAUAUUCAUUCUGAAAUCUCGUUUCAAAAAAACAGCUAUUAUUUUUUGUAUCAAUGCAAACUAAAUAUGUUAAUUUCUUUUAAAGCGGAAAGGAAAAUAAAAACGAAAUCACUAAUCAGAAAAAAAGGGUUAAAUAGAAAGCAAACUAUGGUCAUGGUGAUAUUUUAGCUGAAAAAGAGAGUCGUUAUUAACCAUUAUGCUAAAUAAGGGAAAAGGAACAAUAAAAAAUCGUUAUAAAACAGGGAAAAAGACUUAUACCCGACAGCUUAACAAAAGUCGCCUGAGCAAAUAUAUCGGCUGUUUUGUCCUUUCGCAAAACAGCUAAAAUGUUAAUAAAGGCGACUUCAGCGUAUAGAUUUUUGUCUAUCGUUUUAAUCAUUAUACUGCAUCAAGAGAGAAAAAAAGAACCAUACAAU